GAUGAACGCUGGCGGCGUGCCUAAUACAUGCAAGUCGAGCGAACAGACGAGGAGCUUGCUCCUCUGACGUUAGCGGCGGACGGGUGAGUAACACGUGGAUCACCUACCUAUAAGACGGGGAUAACUUCGGGAAACCGGCGCUAAUACCGGAUAAUAUCUUGAUCCGCAUGGUUCAAUAGUGAAAGACGGCUUUGGUGUAUGUUCUAGAUGGAUCCCGGCCGCAUUAGCUAGUUGGUAAGGUAACGGCCUACCAAGGGGACGAUGCGUAGACGAACUGAGGGAGUGAUCGGCCACACUGGAGGUGAGACGCGGUCCAGACGCCUACGGGAGGCAGCAGUAGGGAAUGGGACGCAAUGGGCGAGAGCAUGGCGGAGCAGGCGCGAGUGAGUGAUGAAGGUGUCGGGAUCGUAAAGCUGUGUUAUUAGGGAAGAACAGAUGUGGAAGUAAACGAAGAGGGAGUGACGGUAACGGGUAAGAAAGCAACGGCUAACUACGUG
Molecule: ribosomal RNA, 497 nt
Filed under: uncultured bacterium
Lineage: Bacteria
Description: partial 16S ribosomal RNA
Rfam family: Bacterial small subunit ribosomal RNA
Source: RNAcentral